This 1361-nucleotide ribosomal RNA is filed under the name uncultured bacterium. RNAcentral's name for it is "bacterial SSU rRNA". It matches the Rfam family "Bacterial small subunit ribosomal RNA", at positions 28 to 1381 of the family's 1533-position model. The record is from RNAcentral.
GACGAACGCUGGCGGCGUGCUUAACACAUGCAAGUCGAACGGAAAGGCCCCCACCUUGGUGGGGGUGCUCGAGUGGCGAACGGGUGAGUAACACGUGGGUGAUCUGCCCUGUACUUCGGGAUAAGCUUGGGAAACUGGGUCUAAUACCGGAUAGGACCAUGGUUUAGUGUCUCAUGGUGGAAAGAUUUUUUGGUGCUGGAUGAGCUCGCGGCCUAUCAGCUUGUUGGUGGGGUAAUGGCCUACCAAGGCGUCGACGGGUAGCCGGCCUGAGAGGGUGGACGGCCACAUUGGGACUGAGAUACGGCCCAGACUCCUACGGGAGGCAGCAGUGGGGAAUAUUGCACAAUGGGCGCAAGCCUGAUGCAGCGACGCCGCGUGGGGGAUGACGGCCUUCGGGUUGUAAACUCCUUUCGUUAGGGACGAAGCCGCACCUUUUUUUGGGUGUGGUGACGGUACCUUUGUUAAGAAGCACCGGCUAACUACGUGCCAGCAGCCGCGGUAAUACGUAGGGUGCGAGCGUUGUCCGGAAUUACUGGGCGUAAAGAGCUCGUAGGUGGUUUGUUGCGUCGUCUGUGAAAUUCCGGGGCUUAACUUCGGGGUGGCAGGCGAUACGGGCAUAACUAGAGUGCUGUAGGGGAGACUGGAAUUCCUGGUGUAGCGGUGGAAUGCGCAGAUAUCAGGAGGAACACCGAUGGCGAAGGCAGGUCUCUGGGCAGUAACUGACGCUGAGGAGCGAAAGCAUGGGGAGCGAACAGGAUUAGAUACCCUGGUAGUCCAUGCUGUAAACGGUGGGCGUUAGGUGUGGGGACCGGUUUGGUUUCUGUGCCGUAGCUAACGCAUUAAGCGCCCCGCCUGGGGAGUACGGCCGCAAGGCUAAAACUCAAAGGAAUUGACGGGGGCCCGCACAAGCGGCGGAGCAUGUGGAUUAAUUCGAUGCAACGCGAAGAACCUUACCUGGGUUUGACAUGCACCAGACGGUUGUAGAGAUACGUACCUCCCUUUGUGGUUGGUGUGCAGGCGGUGCAUGGUUGUCGUCAGCUCGUGUCGUGAGAUGUUGGGUUAAGUCCCGCAACGAGCGCAACCCUUGUCUUAUGUUGCCAGCACUUUGGGUGGGGACUCAUGAGAGACUGCCGGGGUUAACUCGGAGGAAGGUGGGGAUGACGUCAAAUCAUCAUGCCCUUUAUGCCCAGGGCUUCACACAUGCUACAAUGGUUAGUACAACGCGCUGCGAACCUGUGAGGGUGAGCGAAUCGCUGAAAGCUAAUCUCAGUUCGGAUUGGGGUCUGCAACUCGACCCCAUGAAGUCGGAGUCGCUAGUAAUCGCAGAUCAGCAAUGCUGCGGUGAAUACGUUCCCGGGCCU